GUGAGUCAUCGAAUCUUUGAACGCACAUUGCGCCCUUUGGUAUUCCGAGGGGCACGCCUGUUCGAGCGUCAUUUAAACCAUCAAGCACCGCUUGGUCUUGGGUGCGGUCGAGCGACCCAUCCGCAACUGGUUGGCGGUACCGUCCGGCUUCAAGCGUAGCAGAAUUACCUCGCUUCAGGAGCUCGCGGCGGUGCCCGCCAGGCAACCACUACCUAAGUUUGACCUCGGAUCAGGUGGGGAUACCCGCUGAACUUAAGCAUAUCAAUAAGCGGAGGA
RNAcentral lists this unclassified non-coding RNA (276 nucleotides) under Dothideomycetes sp. RNAcentral describes it as "partial contains 5.8S ribosomal RNA, internal transcribed spacer 2, and large subunit ribosomal RNA". The stretch from base 1 to 71 matches the Rfam family "5.8S ribosomal RNA", at positions 84 to 154 of the family's 154-position model. The record is from RNAcentral. Lineage: Eukaryota; Fungi; Ascomycota; Dothideomycetes.